UACGAAGGGUGCAAACGUUGUUCGGAAUUACUGGGCGUAAAGGGCGCGUAGGCGGCCUUCUAAGUCAGACGUGAAAUCCCCCGGCUUAACCUGGGAACUGCGUCUGAUACUGGGAGGCUUGAGUAUGGGAGAGGGAUGUAGAAUUCCAGGUGUAGCGGUGAAAUGCGUAGAUAUCUGGAGGAAUACCGGUGGCGAAGGCGGCAUCCUGGACCAUUACUGACGCUGAGGCGCGAAAGCUAGGGGAGCAAACGGG
Molecule: ribosomal RNA, 253 nt
Filed under: uncultured bacterium
Lineage: Bacteria
Description: partial 16S ribosomal RNA
Rfam family: Bacterial small subunit ribosomal RNA
Source: RNAcentral